RNAcentral lists this long non-coding RNA (230 nucleotides) under Lathyrus oleraceus (garden pea). RNAcentral describes it as "Pisum sativum (pea) long non-coding RNA (PSAT_LNC035940)". Lineage: Eukaryota; Viridiplantae; Streptophyta; Magnoliopsida; Fabales; Fabaceae. The record is from RNAcentral.
UUUUCAGUCCACCGGGAUACCCUUUUUUUCCCAAGCCGCCCUUGUGGGGUUUUCGACCUGCCGGGUGUACAGUUUUUUUUCCUUUUUAUCCCUAAUUUUUGCCCGAACCUUUUUCAUUUUCAUUUUUUUGGUUCGCCGGGAUGCCCAUUUUUGCCUGGACUAUUUUAUUCUUUCCGUCCAGCGGGUCUCUUAUACGAAGUAUUUUUUAACUGCGUUCGCAUUCACAGGGG